GAUGAAGAACGUAGCGAAAUGCGAUACGUAAUGUGAAUUGCAGAAUUCAGUGAAUCAUCGAAUCUUUGAACGCAUAUUGCGCUCUCUGGUAUUCCGGAGAGCAUGCUUGUUUGAGUAUCAGUAAACACCUCAACUUACAUAUCUUUUUUGAAAUGGGAGUUGGACUUGAGUGAUCCCAACGCUUUUCCUCACCGAAAAGUGGCGGGUUACUUGAAAUGCAGGUGCAGCUGGACUUUUCUCUGAGCUAUAAGCAUAUCUAUUUAGUCUGCCUAAAAAACAGAUUAUUACCUUUGCUGCAGCUAACAUAAAGGAGAUUAGUUCUUGUGCUGACUGAUGCAGGAUUCACAAAGACAGGCUUCGGCCGACUUUGUAAACUCGAUCUCAAAUCAAGUAAAACUACCCGCUGAACUUAAGCAUAUCAAUAAGCGGAGGA
This 433-nucleotide unclassified non-coding RNA is filed under the name soil metagenome. RNAcentral describes it as "partial contains 5.8S ribosomal RNA, internal transcribed spacer 2, and large subunit ribosomal RNA". The stretch from base 1 to 120 matches the Rfam family "5.8S ribosomal RNA", at positions 35 to 154 of the family's 154-position model. The record is from RNAcentral.